This is a long non-coding RNA of Astyanax mexicanus (Mexican tetra), 1315 nucleotides long. RefSeq lists it as uncharacterized. The record is from RefSeq and is a predicted model, not a curated record. Lineage: Eukaryota; Metazoa; Chordata; Actinopteri; Characiformes; Acestrorhamphidae. The transcript has 2 exons.
AAUCAAUAUUUGGUGGAAUAACCCUGGUUGGUUUUUAAUCACAGUUAUUUUCCAUGCAUCUUGGCAUCAUGUUCUCCUCCACCAGUCUUACACACUGCUUUUGGAUAACUUUAUGCUGCUUUACUCCUGGUGCAAAAAUUCAAGCAGUUCAGUUUGGUGGUUUGAUGGCUUGUGAUCAUCCAUCUUCCUCUUGAUUAUAUUCCAGAGGUUUUCAAUUUGGUAAAAUCAAGGAAAAACCUCAGCAUUAAGUGGUUUCUUAAUUUUUGUUUUUCCAGAGCUGUACGUUUUUUUGUUGGUGCCACAGUGGGAAAAAAGAAGUGCCAGCUUAAGUACACUAAUAUUACUACUUUACUACAUUCAGAAUCUUGAAAUCUAAACCCUUGGCACAUAAAAUACGACAGUGCCUUGUACAAGACACGCAUGUAUUGUUAAUGUUAGAUAUUGAUAGUGUGUUAUAGAAUAGAAAAUACAUUUGUAUGCAUCUCCUUUUUUGAAGCAACACACACACUUCAAACAUUCCUAACAUUUUUGUUUUAUGUAUGUGGAUACAAUUACAAGUAAUACAUAGCCUCACGUGCCCUGAGAGAUGUUGUAUAGAAUUUCUGAAUACUUGUAUCUUUAAGAUUUUAUCAAACAGGGCAUCAAUGUUCUGCAGUUACUGUACACAUUACAUUAAUAAGCCUGCAGGUAAGGAAUUAAAAAUGCUUUUUAAAAAUCUUUUUUUUUUUUAUGAGCUAUAUCUUUAUAUUAUCUCAAUUCUGUUUAAAACUUAUACCAGUUAAAGCAAAAGAGGCAUCGGCUGUUAUUCACAUAUCUGUUUCACAUAUAUAUAAAACACAGGAAAGCAUUGCAGAGUGCAGCAUUGCUGAAUCAUGUCUUGCCUUAAAUAUCUUACUUUCUCUUCAGAAGACAUCGGUUGGUUGAUUAAUUGGUUGGUUGGUUGAUUGGUGGGUUGGUUGGUCAUUGAAACUGCUAAGGUGUAACUUACAAGUGUUUUACUGUGAAGAAUUGCUAUGCAGUCUGAAUAAACUACAGGUUUAAUCAACAGCAGCUUACUGCUCUAGAAACUGACCAUGUUUAUGCAUUAUCCUAAUUUUACUUGCAUGCAAUUCAUCAUACAUUCUUUAACAAUAAAAUUCUUCAUGUUUUUUUGCAUUGUCAAAAAGUCACUCAAUUUGAAACAGUGUUGUUUCAGAGACAUUGGGGAUGUGUCAUGUUGAACGACGAGCAUACCUUGAUAUGUAUUUGUUGAGAAACAGUGAAUUGUGAAUUUAACGGUGAAUAAAUAAAGUUUCAGAUGUUGUGGCCCAAGAAA